Molecule: long non-coding RNA, 1404 nt
Filed under: Lathyrus oleraceus (garden pea)
Lineage: Eukaryota; Viridiplantae; Streptophyta; Magnoliopsida; Fabales; Fabaceae
Description: Pisum sativum (pea) long non-coding RNA (PSAT_LNC019135)
Source: RNAcentral
AAAAGCGCUUAAGCGCUUCAUUUGUUAAAAAUAAUUCUCUCUCUUCAAGAAUAACCAGGUUUGCUUUGCAACUCCUUUCAUCUUCUCCGUUCCCAACCUACCGGAGAAGGGGUUGGUCGCCGGCCAACGGCGGCGGCGCCACCUUCUUCUCCGGCGAAUCACUUCCCCAAAAACCAAAACCUAAACACUAACCUUCCUAUUUCAACCUGGCGGUUACGGAUCCGGCCAUAUUUUUCCCAAGAAAAACCUUAAACCAACAGAUCCAAACUCACCCACACCAAACAAACAAAAGUUAGGCAGAACAAACAAAGCUUUUAGGCUAACGAAAUGAGAUCAAGAUGGAUAAAUAGGAAGCUUGAGAAAGGAACCAACCAAUCGUACUCGAAGCUUCGACGAGGGUCCUUCAGCGUGGUUUGUGUUGAUCUUGUUCGGAAGCACGCCGUCGAUGAUGCCUUCUCCCUCCCGUCUCCAGAUAAGCUUUCUCCUUCUGUUUUCGUUCUUAGGGUUUUUGAGAAAUGUUAUGGCUGUUGUGUUCUGGGUUUGCAAAAAAUCGCUCCGUUGUUCUUUCUAUAUUAACUUUUUUUUAAAGAAUUUUUUGAAAGUAUUUUGCUGUGUGUUUGGGUUCUAAGAAAAACGAACUGUUCUGGAUGUUUUUUUGUUGUUGGUUCUUUAAGGUUCUCUUUGAAAUAUUGUUGUGCGUUCUUGUUUCGGGUUUUAGAAAAAAUUCGUGUUGUGUAUCUUGUUGUGUGGUUCUUGUUUUUUUUGGAUCCUGAGAAAAAUAUCUUACUGUCUCUAUUUGCUCACCUCCUUUUGGAUCCGUUUAUGAAGGAUUUGUUAAGUCUAAAAAAACUCCUCUUUCCAUUUGUCCCAUCCCAGAUUAUGUGGGAUUUAAUUUCUAUUGAUUUGUUCUGUUUUAAGCUAAUGUCAAAAGUGAUUUUUUGAGUAUUCAUGUUAACCUGCUGGAUAAAGCCUCAAACUGAAUGAUUCAUUUAGUUGUUUUUCAGCUCUCUAAGUGCUUUCGAAAAGUGCUUUUAAAAUAAGCUAUUUUUGUUCUCUGCAGAUUACAACUCUAAGAUGACCUGCUGGAAUGGAAGGUGGUUGCUCCAAGCUUCAAGACAACCUGUUUUCGUGACUAAGUCCAAAGAGAUUUCAUCCUAAUUGCUUGGUUUUGGUCAUUAGGAACCUAUUUUCAUUUGUAGCAAUUUUUUUUACUGUAAUUACUUAGUUUAGUUUUUUUUAGACAAAAUGUGUGUUUGGAUUAUUUGGGACUUAUUGAAUAAAAUUUUAAUUAUGUAAUUACCUUUUAAUCUUUCAAAAUUUAACUCAAUAUUUAUUUAUGUUAAUCAUUCAACUUUUAAAAACAAUACACUUCUAACUUAAGCAUAAUGACUUAAUCUAAAGAAC